Corvus hawaiiensis (hawaiian crow) is the source of this 661-nucleotide long non-coding RNA. RefSeq lists it as uncharacterized. The transcript has 3 exons. The record is from RefSeq and is a predicted model, not a curated record. NCBI's taxonomy places the organism in Eukaryota, Metazoa, Chordata, Aves, Passeriformes, Corvidae.
UCCUCCAGCAAAUCUGUCACACCAACAGGAUGGUGUGUUCAUGUUUCUGCUGCUUGCCACGAGGCUCUGUGCUUCUUUCGGAUAAAAAAUUUCUCUCUGCAUGCUGCAGGGCUCAGAGCAUGUGUGACAACAACCUCUGCCCUUGAUUGCCAGGAAACACGGGAGUGGCGUUACAUCCCCUGGUGGCAAAGACAACAUGGGCUGAGAAAUAUUUACCUGCUGCUGGGCAGAUCUUGGAAACGUGAUGGAUGAAAGAUGCUGACAAUGUGCUACGAGGAAGACAAAGCUGGAAGCCCACAGAUGGAGGGUGCAGAACGCAGCCAAAACCCAAAAAGUUUCUGUUUCACAAUGGGAGAGCUGAUUGUGCAAAGCAAUAAGGGGCAUCCAACCAAAAGUCUCCAUUGCAAAUUCUCCUGGUCUCUUAAGGGAUUUGAAGAUGAUUUAUGUCCAUGUUUACUAACAGCUGGGAGGAGAUUCAGCUUUAAUCUUGUUUAAGGAAAAGCAGCAGCCAAGGUAAGACAGUGACAUUUCCUGAACAAGCUUUUCUCCACAAAAAUGCAAUCGUCACACGGAGCUGAACUAAUUGAGGCUCUUGAGUGUUUUACAAGCAGCAAGAAUCCCGAAAUUAAAUGAGCAGAUGUGAAUGAAUACGUGUGGCAAC